UACGUAGGGUGCAAGCGUUGUCCGGAAUUAUUGGGCGUAAAGAGCUCGUAGGCGGUUUGCCGCGUCGAAUGUGAAAACCCGGGGCUCAACUCCGGGCCUGCAUUCGAUACGGGCAGACUAGAGUUCGGUAGGGGAGACUGGAAUUCCUGGUGUAGCGGUGAAAUGCGCAGAUAUCUGGAGGAACACCGGUGGCGAAGGCGGCAUCCUGGACCGAUACUGACGCUGAGGAGCGAAAGCCAGGGGAGCAAACGGG
RNAcentral lists this ribosomal RNA (253 nucleotides) under uncultured bacterium. RNAcentral describes it as "partial 16S ribosomal RNA". It matches the Rfam family "Bacterial small subunit ribosomal RNA", at positions 524 to 776 of the family's 1533-position model. The record is from RNAcentral.